AUCACCUAAUUUAUUAACUUAUUCAACCUUGAUUGAAUGCUGAUGCUGUUCCUUAUCCUGCACUUAUAGAUGCCCAGUGCAAGAAUUUAUAAGUGAAAUCUGCUGUGACUUUAUUUGAUGAGAUGACUAAGCAGGGAAUCAAGCCUCAUGUUGUCACUUAUAAGGCAACUCAAGAAAAUUACAGUGGCAAGCAGGAAAUUUUGUCCAUCUUAAAUGCUUGCAGUCGCUGAGAUUCCUUUGGAGAUGCUUCGAUUUUAUUGGAGGAGCUUUGAUUAUUUGAUUAUCAGGUGUAUGGCGUGGCAUACAUACUUGUAAGGGCUUUCGCGAUGUAAUUUUAGAGUCUGGUUCUUUGCUGUUGGUACAAGCUCUCCACUCCAAUCAGCAUGAUCUCUCUUAUUUUGAUUCUAUUGUCACUGAUUAUGAAUUUUCUUCUUAAUUAAUUCUGCUCUAUUUCUUCUACUGGUAAAUCAGUGAACACUGUUGUCCAUUGCUUAACACAUACAAUUUAGGGUGCAAUUUAGUUUUUAGUCAAAUCUCCGGGAGUGGGGGCUUA
Hevea brasiliensis (rubber tree) is the source of this 553-nucleotide long non-coding RNA. RefSeq lists it as uncharacterized. Lineage: Eukaryota; Viridiplantae; Streptophyta; Magnoliopsida; Malpighiales; Euphorbiaceae. The record is from RefSeq and is a predicted model, not a curated record. The transcript is spliced from 2 exons.